RNAcentral lists this ribosomal RNA (996 nucleotides) under uncultured bacterium. RNAcentral describes it as "bacterial SSU rRNA". It matches the Rfam family "Bacterial small subunit ribosomal RNA", at positions 355 to 1375 of the family's 1533-position model. The record is from RNAcentral.
UGGGGAAUAUUGCACAAUGGGGGAAACCCUGAUGCAGCGACGCCGCGUGGAGGAAGAAGGUCUUCGGAUUGUAAACUCCUGUUGUUGGGGAAGAUAAUGACGGUACCCAACAAGGAAGUGACGGCUAACUACGUGCCAGCAGCCGCGGUAAAACGUAGGUCACAAGCGUUGUCCGGAAUUACUGGGUGUAAAGGGAGCGCAGGCGGGAAGACAAGUUGGAAGUGAAAUCUAUGGGCUCAACCCAUAAACUGCUUUCAAAACUGUUUUUCUUGAGUAGUGCAGAGGUAGGCGGAAUUCCCGGUGUAGCGGUGGAAUGCGUAGAUAUCGGGAGGAACACCAGUGGCGAAGGCGGCCUACUGGGCACCAACUGACGCUGAGGCUCGAAAGUGUGGGUAGCAAACAGGAUUAGAUACCCUGGUAGUCCACACCGUAAACGAUGAUUACUAGGUGUUGGAGGAUUGACCCCUUCAGUGCCGCAGUUAACACAAUAAGUAAUCCACCUGGGGAGUACGACCGCAAGGUUGAAACUCAAAGGAAUUGACGGGGGCCCGCACAAGCAGUGGAGUAUGUGGUUUAAUUCGACGCAACGCGAAGAACCUUACCAAGUCUUGACAUCCCUUGACAGGCAUAGAAAUACGUUCUUCCUUCGGGACACAGAGACAGGUGGUGCAUGGUUGUCGUCAGCUCGUGUCGUGAGAUGUUGGGUUAAGUCCCGCAACGAGCGCAACCCUUAUUGCCAGUUACUACGUUAAGAGGACUCUGGCGAGACUGCCGUUGACAAAACGGAGGAAGGUGGGGAUGACGUCAAAUCAUCAUGCCCUUUAUGACCUGGGCUACACACGUACUACAAUGGCGUUAAACAAAGAGAAGCAAGACCGCGAGGUGGAGCAAAACUCAAAAACAACGUCUCAGUUCAGAUUGCAGGCUGCAACUCGCCUGCAUGAAGUCGGAAUUGCUAGUAAUCGCGGAUCAGCAUGCCGCGGUGAAUACGUUCCC